GACGAACGCUGGCGGCGUGCUUAACACAUGCAAGUCGAACGCGCCUGUCCUCUGGGUUUCUGGGGGUGGGUGAGUGGCGAACGGGUGAGUAACACGUGAGUAACCUGCCCCCUUCUUCGGGAUAACGGUCUGAAAGGGCUGCUAAUACCGGGUAUUCACUGGUCUCCGCAUGGGGUCUGGUGGAAAGGUUUUUUUCUGGUGGGGGAUGGGCUCGCGGCCUAUCAGCUUGUUGGUGGGGUGAUGGCCCACCAAGGCUUUGACGGGUAGCCGGCCUGAGAGGGUGACCGGUCACAUUGGGACUGAGAUACGGCCCAGACUCCUACGGGAGGCAGCAGUGGGGAAUAUUGCACAAUGGGCGCAAACCUGAUGCAGCGACGCCGCGUGAGGGAUGGAGGCCUUCGGGUUGUGAACCUCUUUCGCCCGUGGUCAAGCCGCGACGUGGGUCGUGGUGAGGGUAGUGGGUAAAGAAGCGCCGGCUAACUACGUG
RNAcentral lists this ribosomal RNA (487 nucleotides) under uncultured bacterium. RNAcentral's name for it is "partial 16S ribosomal RNA". It matches the Rfam family "Bacterial small subunit ribosomal RNA", at positions 28 to 507 of the family's 1533-position model. The record is from RNAcentral.